GACGAACGCUGGCGGCGUGCCUAAUACAUGCAAGUAGAACGCUGAAGGAGGAGCUUGCUUCUCCGGAUGAGUUGCGAACGGGUGAGUAACGCGUAGGUAACCUGCCUGGUAGCGGGGGAUAACUAUUGGAAACGAUAGCUAAUACCGCAUAAGAGUAGAUGUCGCAUGACAUUUGCUUAAAAGGUGCAACUGCACCACUACCAGAUGGACCUGCGUUGUAUUAGCUAGUUGGUGAGGUAACGGCUCACCAAGGCAACGAUACAUAGCCGACCUGAGAGGGGGGUCGGCCACACUUGGACUGAGACACGGCCCAGACUCCUACGGGAGGCAGCAGUAGGGAAUCUUCGGCAAUGGACGGAAGUCUGACCGAGCAACGCCGCGUGAGUGAAGAAGGUUUUCGGAUCGUAAAGCUCUGUUGUAAGAGAAGAACGAGUGUGAGAGUGGAAAGUUCACACUGUGACGGUAUCUUACCAGAAAGGGACGGCUAACUACGUG
This 495-nucleotide ribosomal RNA is filed under the name uncultured bacterium. RNAcentral's name for it is "partial 16S ribosomal RNA". It matches the Rfam family "Bacterial small subunit ribosomal RNA", at positions 28 to 507 of the family's 1533-position model. The record is from RNAcentral.